This is a long non-coding RNA of Hippocampus comes (tiger tail seahorse), 238 nucleotides long. RefSeq lists it as uncharacterized. Lineage: Eukaryota; Metazoa; Chordata; Actinopteri; Syngnathiformes; Syngnathidae. The record is from RefSeq and is a predicted model, not a curated record. The transcript has 2 exons.
CAAGUCACGUCUUGGCAAUUUGUCUUCCUGUUGUUGUCAUGAUGAUGAAUGUUGACAUAUGGGCAGCCCACGAGAUGGAGGGCUGCCCCGUCAAGACCGCCCGCCAUCCAUCCGGCAGCAAUUGCGUCAGCGUCCGGGUGUGGAUUCGACAUGGAGACUUGAGUCAGGCCCCCACCAUUGAAAUCGCCUCCUUGAGAAAAGAGACCAUCCGGCCCGUCUUCAGAUACAAGAGAACAAA